GAGGCCGGUGGCGUGUUCCAAGGAGUUGAGGAGCUCCGCCCCCUUGUCC
Molecule: ribosomal RNA, 49 nt
Filed under: uncultured Chlorophyceae
Lineage: Eukaryota; Viridiplantae; Chlorophyta; Chlorophyceae
Description: partial 5.8S ribosomal RNA
Source: RNAcentral